AAUAGACCACUGCCUCCUGCAAACUUACCUUCCCUGCUCGGUCUCAGCAAUCAAGUACUCGAAAGUAGUGGCCACGCUGAGGGGGCUGUUAUGAAGGGAGUUCCAGAAUUGUGCCCCAGGAACAGGGAAGGACCAAUGACAUUGUUUCAAAAUCAGGAGGAUGUGUGACCUAGACCAGCUUGUGGUGUCCCUUUGCAUCUGCUGCCCUUGUCUUUCCAAUUAAUAAAAGGUUGUGGGUUUGGAAUGCAAUCCAAAAGGCACCCUGGCAAGAAGUUUCCAGAAGUGUGGGUCACUAAAACUGACUUUUGAAGAAAGCAGCUGAAGAUUAAAGUCAAGAAGAUAAUUAAGAUAAUCAUGAAUUUUCAGGAUGACAGACUGGAGUGUGGUAAGUGAAGGAAAAGGCCUUUGGUGGGAGCAAGCCCUGGACAAGCCAGACACAGCUCCAGCCCAGUCUGGGGUCUACUGGCGAGCAAGGAACCAGUCUCCCAGCCCAGACACAGGCUGGGCUGACACUCCAGGUCCACAGCUAGGCCGAAGUGUCUGAAGGAGGCAAAAGGAGGUUUCGGCCCCGUGUGGUGAACUCCGUCUGGCAUGGCAGUCUUCGGCAGAAGCAUCUGGCUCAGUAUUCCAGCAGUCCAGUGUGACAGUCUCAUGGCGGCUGGGUGUUCAGGGCUUCUUAACCAGCUUUCCUAGAGCCCAGGAGCCACUAACUGAACUGAGAUGAACUUUGUCUUGUUACUUUUUUUAAAGUAUUAUGAAUGAUUUCUGUCCUUGAUGCAGCUACCACGGUUGAGUGACUAAAACCUUUUGCUGUAUUUUUCUUGCAAAAGUACAUGUAAUAAUAAAUUUCUAUUCUAUUCAAUCCAA
Long non-coding RNA from Stegostoma tigrinum, 867 nucleotides. RefSeq lists it as uncharacterized. The record is from RefSeq and is a predicted model, not a curated record. NCBI's taxonomy places the organism in Eukaryota, Metazoa, Chordata, Chondrichthyes, Orectolobiformes, Stegostomatidae. The transcript has 3 exons.